AGGCCUAACACAUGCAAGCCGAGCGGUAGAGAUCUUUCGGGAUCUUGAGAGCGGCGUACGGGUGCGGAACACGUGUGCAACCUGCCUUUAUCAGGGGGAUAGCCUUUCGAAAGGAAGAUUAAUACCCCAUAAUAUAUUGAGUGGCAUCACUUAAUAUUGAAAACUCCGGUGGAUAGAGAUGGGCACGCGCAAGAUUAGAUAGUUGGUGAGGUAACGGCUCACCAAGUCUGCGAUCUUUAGGGGGCCUGAGAGGGUGAUCCCCCACACUGGUACUGAGACACGGACCAGACUCCUACGGGAGGCAGCAGUGAGGAAUAUUGGACAAUGGGUGCGAGCCUGAUCCAGCCAUCCCGCGUGAAGGACGACGGCCCUAUGGGUUGUAAACUUCUUUUGUAUAGGGAUAAACCUACUCUCGUGAGAGUAGCUGAAGGUACUAUACGAAUAAGCACCGGCUAACUCCGUGCCAGCAGCCGCGGUAAUACGGAGGGUGCAAGCGUUAUCCGGAUUUAUUGGGUUUAAAGGGUCCGUAGGCGGAUCUGUAAGUCAGUGGUGAAAUCUCACAGCUUAACUGUGAAACUGCCAUUGAUACUGCAGGUCUUGAGUGUUGUUGAAGUAGCUGGAAUAAGUAGUGUAGCGGUGAAAUGCAUAGAUAUUACUUAGAACACCAAUUGCGAAGGCAGGUUACUAAGCAACAACUGACGCUGAUGGACGAAAGCGUGGGGAGCGAACAGGAUUAGAUACCCUGGUAGUCCACGCCGUAAACGAUGCUAACUCGUUUUUGGAUUUUCGGAUUCNGAGACUAAGCGAAAGUGAUAAGUUAGCCACCUGGGGAGUACGAACGCAAGUUUGAAACUCAAAGGAAUUGACGGGAGCCCGCACAAGCUGUGGAUUAUGUGGUUUAAUUCGAUGAUACGCGAGGAACCUUACCAAGGCUUAAAUGGGAAAUGACAGGCUUAGAAAUAGGCUUUUCUUCGGACAUUUUUCAAGGUGCUGCAUGGUUGUCGUCAGCUCGUGCCGUGAGGUGUUAGGUUAAGUCCUGCAACGAGCGCAAGCCCUGUCACUAGUUGCCAGCAUUAGAUUGGGGACUCUAGUGAGACUGCCUAGGCAA
This 1108-nucleotide ribosomal RNA is filed under the name Chryseobacterium gleum. RNAcentral's name for it is "bacterial SSU rRNA". It matches the Rfam family "Bacterial small subunit ribosomal RNA", at positions 44 to 1160 of the family's 1533-position model. The record is from RNAcentral. Lineage: Bacteria; Pseudomonadati; Bacteroidota; Flavobacteriia; Flavobacteriales; Weeksellaceae.